Molecule: long non-coding RNA, 26769 nt
Filed under: Pelobates cultripes (western spadefoot toad)
Lineage: Eukaryota; Metazoa; Chordata; Amphibia; Anura; Pelobatidae
Source: RNAcentral
UCAGAUACUGUUUUAGGAGAACUAUUUACUUUUAACUAUUAACUUUCUUGUAAUGUAAAUGUUUUCCUUCAUUUGUAGGACAAGAAAAGUGUCUUCCUGAUGAUGAGAGUUCUUGCCAUGGUCUCUGUUAUUUUUGAGAAGCCAGACUAAGCUUGUGCGGCAGCCAAUGCAUUUUGUCAAAGGAAAAAAAUUGUUAAAGGGCACUAUCAUUUUACAGAUUUUGACAAACCGUUUUGGAUUUUUCUGUGUUCUAGACCUAUCUGACAAUUGCUUAGGUUGGAUGUUCUUUUUAUGCUGGAUUGUUUGCAGUUUCUUCGAAUAUGUAAGCAGUAGGUGCUUUAUCUGUCAUUAACAAGAAAAGGAUUGUGUUGCAACAGGAAGCAAAUUUAAAAAGGAAAAAAAAUAAACAUUUCACAGGCCGAUGCGGAAUUGAAAUGGUGACAAUGUUUUAGUCAAUUUGCUACAACCUUUUACCAUCACCCAAUAAGGAACAUAUACAUUUAUUACAAAAAAAAAUAUAUACAUGUGUUUCUUACUUUUUUAUUGCAGGAAAUAAUUUUUCAAAAAUAUUCACAAUGGUAUUAGAUCAACAAUCAGAGUUCUAUAGUUAAAAAAGAAACGUGAAACCUUACCGUCUGUGACUGCAUCUUCAACGAUAUUGUUGCUUUUUCUUCUUUUGGAAUGUUUGAGUUGAUGAUUUCAUAUAAAUACUUAUUGUGAUGGUAAAAAGAAUACACUGCGAAGAGUAGAAGGUUGGUCAGGAAUACAAGAGCAUAAAUUCCUUGACUGGAUGCCAUAAACAAGUAAUCUCUUUUGCCGCUCAUAUGAACGCCACAACGAACGACCAUUGCCAGCAAAACCUACGAGAAGGACCUACAAGUACAAUACAGGUCAUCUCUCGAAAACUCGGAUUCUUUCCUCCUUAAUUGUAGUUUGCAUCAACUGAAUCUUUCACAUACUUUUAGGUCUCUUAAAACUGGAAUAUAAUAUAAAAGGGACCUGAACUUUUAUUAAAGGCCCCAAAAAAGGCUUUAUUUGGAUAUUUGUUAAAUCAAGGCUUUAUCCAGGAAUUAGUCGGGUCUUGUAACUUGGGGAUGCACACAAGAAACUAGAUAUUUUUGGUUGCCUUUAAUUUUGUUCUUUCUUUUGCCUGUUUGUACCAGCUUGGAACAAAUUCUGUUUUCCUGAGGUUUUGUUUUGCUUAUGAGUCCCGGCAGUGGGCCCAUGAAAGAGUGUGGAUACAGUGAAAUUAAUACUCGUGGCACCUCCCCCAUGGAGUCUCCUCCUAAAAAGAAAGCUGCUGCACAGAAGAAAUGGGAGGUUUUCCCAGGUAGGAACAAAUUUUUUUGCGAUGGCAGGAUAAUGAUGGCCAAGCAAACUGGAGUCUUCUACCUCACCCUGAUCCUUAUCCUGCUAACCAGUGGACUCUUCUUUGCCUUUGAGUAAGUGUCAUUACUUCUGUGUGUGUAUCUUAAUUUACAUAAAAUGUUUGUAAACUAAAAUAGUCUAAAAUGUUUUGAUGGAUAUUACAUUUUCUGUAUAUUACUCAGACUUUUGCUUUAUUGUGGUCUGGGUAUUGCAUUAAAGGACCACUGACGUUUUUAUUUCUUUUGGUUCUUGCUAAAUAGUUUCUUUAGUUGGCUCCACAAAUGUAUUGGAUUUAGGCCACUUCUUGCACACCGCAGAAUCAUGACAAGGAAUCCUGUUUAAACAUAUAGGUUUCCUUAUUCUGGAAAAGAUCACAUGCUAAUAUAAUCUGGCUCAACUAUAUUACUAAUGUAUUUUUUUGUUGUUGUUGUUGUCAUUUACAGUACCAUCAAUUACUCGCCCGAACAUUUUUAUGUUCUACAACCUCAGAUCAUACCACUAACUGGAUGCUUUCUUGUAUCUGUAAUGCAUUCAGGAAGCAUAUUGUCUCCAAUUCCUAGUCUUACACUCUUUAUUCCAUCAUCGCCAGUUGUUGAUAUUUUGGUCUUAUUUCUCCAGAGGACUCUGCCCCACUGUUCCUCGGACCAAUUAACAUUGUUUUAGCCAAGUGUUGCCAAAAAUGUAGCUCCCCAGAUGUUGUAUAACUUCAACUCCCAUGAUCCUGUGUACAUUUUUGCAUGCCUUUAGAUUGACAAGGCAUCAUAGAAGUUAUAGUUUUAAAACAUCUGAGGUUCUUCCUUUUGGGCACCAGUGUUUUAGCUUAUUCAAAUAUCUUCCUUAUUUGUUUAGGGGAAAGAAAUUGCUUUUUCCAAGGAAUUGUAAAAAUUUUUUUUUUUUUUUGAGUCCGAUACUAACCGUUCUAGCAGUAAUCUUAACACCUUAAGACUGAGCCAAAUGUACACAUUGUGAUCAAAAAGUAAACAAAACCUUGAAUUUAGGUAUGAAACAUAAUUUAAUAUGAAUAAAAUAUAAAAAAGGGGGAAAAUAAACUUUAUAUUUUUUUUUUUUUUGUUAGUUCUACGUGACCUAUUAACUGUGACUGUCAUAAUACGCUUUGCUUUUACUGCAAUAAAAUACACAUUUGUGUUCAGCGAUGUCUAAAGUGUAAAACAGUACCCCCUAUGUACAGGUUUUAUGGUGUUUUGGGAAGUUACAGGUUCAAAUAUAGCAUGUUAAAUUUUUCAGUUUUUUUCACAUUGAAAUUCGCCAGAUUGGUUACGUUGCCUUUGAGACCGUAUGGUAGCCCAGGAAUGAGAAUUACCCCCAUGAUGGCAUACCAUUUGCAAUAGUAGACAACCCAAGGUAUUGCAAAUUGGGGAUGUCCAGUCUUUUUUAGUAGCCACUUGUUCACAAACUCUGGCCAAAGUUAGUGUUAAUAUUUGUUUGUGUGUGAAAAAUGUAAAAAAACUAAUUGGAACGCCAAUUUUGGCCAGUGUUUGUGACCAAGUGGCUACUAAAAAAGACUGGACAUACCCCAUUUGCAAUACCUUGGGUUGUCUACUAUUGCAAAUGGUAUGCCAUCAGGGGUAAAUGUCAUUCCUGGGCUACCAUACGGUCUCAAAGGCAACGUAACCAAUCUGGCGAAUUUUAAUGUAAAAAAACUGAAAUGCAAGCCUUGUAUUUGACUCUGUAACUUUUGAAAACACCAUAAAACCUGUACAUGAGGGGUACUGUUAUACUCAGGAGACUUUGCUUCAAAUCAGUAAAAUGUAUCACUGAUGAUAUCGUUGUAAUACAUUUUACGGCGACCGGGUAAGUACAAAGGUCGGCGGGGACGUGCUAUGCGGUCCUUAAGAGGUUAAAACCAGAUGGAGACCAUUUUUAUCUCUCACUUAUAGUUUUUGAAUUCUUCUGUCACAACAUGCAUUGUGCAUCUUCGAUGGAGUAUGCAAAUAUCUCUUGCAUAGGUCAGAAAUACCUCCUUUUAGUUAGAUUUCCUAAGAAGUGUAGCCUUCAAGCAAAGUUGUUAUUUUUCCAUCUCUUUUUAGGUGACAAGUCAACUCUUUUCGUAAAGUUUCUUGACCUCUUACCAAGUUAAACAGUAUACUACGUUAUUAAGGAAAAGGGAAAAAAAUAAAUCUGACCAACAAAAAAUGCCAACUUGAUGACACUCAAACAACUAAUGAGUCCUAUCAUUAGCUCUGAUACAUCCUAAUAGGAAUUAAGAUGGUUUCGUAUAAUGUCAUAACACCUGAUUGGCUCUCAGAACAUUGGUCAGUUUUGAGUUAAAGGACCACUAUAGGCACCCAGAUCCCUUCAGCUCAAUGCCAUGUCCCCCUAAUUUUAACCCUGCAGCAGAAACAGCUCUGUUUACAUUGAGGGUUAAUCCAGCCUCUAGUGGCUGUCUCCCUGACAGCGGUUUGAAUGCGCAUGCGUCUGUCUGCGCAUUCGCAGCCGACGUCGGCAGGGAGAGGAGAGGUCCUCAGCGCCGAGUUAGCGUGGCGCUGGAUUAAGGUAAGUGGCUUUAACCCCUUCCGCCCAGCGGGAGGGGGGACGACGUAAUAACCCUAUAGUGCCAGGAAAAUCAGUUUGUUGUCCUGGCAGUAUAGUGCUCCUUUAAGGAGUUUCUCUACAUGUUACAUUAGGCAGCUGUGUUUUACUUUUCUAGUUAUGUAGCUGUGACAUUUAGUAGAAUAAAAAAAAGAUUUUUCAUUGUCUUUUGCAUAAAAUUAUCUUUUUAUAAUGAUAUGUAAUUUAUGGCAUUUUUAAGACUUGUGUUAUUAGCCCUAAAUGUUCCACAAGGUUUCAACAAUUGUUACCAAUGGUUUGUAUAAUAUAAUGCAAGGAGUCAGAGUUCAAGGUUUUGUGCGCCGACCACAUAGCCCUGGAAUUAGUAAACUUUAAAUAUAAGGCUUGAUUAAAAUAUGGCGUUGAUUCCUUUCAUAUAAUGGUUUUGUUCUGUCACUUUUAAUAACUCUGUCACUUUCACCUUCUAGUGGUUAUGAUGCCAGAAUGCCUCUGGAACCAUCACAGUAUUCUGUGUUAAACCAGUUUAUUAACUUUUUACACAAAUAAUGUAGAGGCAUUAUAGUGUUAUGAAUACAAACCUCUACAUUAGAGUGCUGGACUACCUAGUUAGGUGAAAAAGGUUACAUAGCUUUUAGUGUACCUACACUUUCAGUUCUUGGUUUCUUAGAAUUUAUGUAAUUAAUGCCUUGGGGUUGGUUUUGCUCUCUUUGGCUAUCAUUUUUUCAUUUUGAAGUUUAGCGAAACUAAUGAACUUUUUGCACGCAUUAUUGGCUUCCUUAUAUCUUUUAUAGGAUGCAUCUGAUUUGUCCGAUUUAACCCCUUGAGGACCAAACUUCUGGAAUAAAAGGGAAUCAUGACAUGCCACACGUCAUGUGUCCUUAAGGGGUUAAAGGCCCUUUUCUAAUUUUUAGUCUGUUUUACUUAUCUACUAGGCCACAUGUUGGUCAGAAGAUCAAAGUUGUUUGUUAAAACCAGGUCCAGACAAGCGUCCUUUCUAGUUGGUGCUUGUACAAGUUGUGACAUGAAGGUGUCAUUUAAACAAGUUCAAAAACCUAAUUCCCUAUGCUGAGCUACUAGUCCCUCUGUCCCAAUUUAUGUCUGGGUAAUUAAAAUCUCCAAUAAUUAACGUGUUACCCAGAUUUGCAGCUUUCUCAAUUUGCUCAAACUACUGUUCCUCAUCAAUAUUAACAUUAGGUGGUUUAUAACAUAUCUCAACCAAUAGUUUAUUUUCCUUCUUUUGCCCCAAGAAGAUAUUUACCCAUAAAGCAUCCACAUUUCCCUCCUCACAUUACACUUGCUUAAAGGACCACUAUAGCGCCAGGAAAACACUCUUUUUCCUGGCACUAUAGUGCCACUAGUGCUCCAUAUCGUCUGAAUGCGCAUGCGCGGCAGGAGCUGCGCGCAUUCAGCCAGUCCAAAGGAAAGCAUUCUCAAUGCUUUCCUAUGGACGCUGGCAUCUUCUAACAGUGAGAAGCGCCUCUAGCGGCUGUCACUGAGACAGCCACUAGAGGCUGGAUUAACUCUAUUCUACAAAACUGCUAUGUUUAUAGAAGAAAGGGUUAAUCCUAGCUGGACCUGGCACCCAGACCACUUCAUUAAGCUGAAGUGGUCUGGGUGCCUAUAGUGGUCCUUUAAGAUUUGUCUUAAACUCAUGGUUGACAUACAAACUUAUACCACCACCUUUCUUGUUUUUUCUGUCCUUCCUAAGUAGGACAGAACUGCAUUUUACAUCCUGCAGAAACACCUACCACUCUCAGGUACUGACUGAAUCUGUGAAGAUACUCCACCUUAUUUAUUCUUGGAUUGUGGCAAUAUCACGUGUUCCUAUAGAAUUGUUACCAUUUAUACCUGUAGUUUGCCACUAAAGUUCUGUGCAUGCAGUUUGUAUUAUUGUCAUUCAUGUUUCUGACCAAUAUUUCAUGUACACAGUUAUUAAUAUAUUGGUUGCUAGAAUUUGGUUGCUAAACUUUCCAAUUGUAUUCAACACAUGGCUAGUCUACCUCCUCCCCUCUCUCCCUCUUUGCUAUCCUCCUCCUAGCUGUAAAUACCUUCAUAUAACUAUUCAAUCUUCUUCUCUGUUCUUCAGGCCUUACUUCACACUCAAACUCUGUGAAGAACUGCAUCUUUUUUCUCACCACUUAACCCUCCCCCAAUAUAUUGCAUGAGUCUCACUCAAUUACCUUGUCACUCCCUUUACAAUUUACCAAUAGCUGCUUCUCUCUGUUAACUCUUUUAGCCAUCACCUCCAAAUUUCACCUGCUACCUCUUUGUCUCAGUUCCCCACUGUAUCCUUUAGAUUGUAAGCUUACUGGCCAUCUAGCUAAGCACUUUGUAUAAAAGAGCUCAAAUGGCUAGAUAUCAGCUUACGGGCAGGGCUCUCUCUACCUCUUGUAUUUGUCUGUGUAUAUUGUACCUUCUCAACUAAUUGUACAGCGCUGCGGAAUCUAUUGGCCCUUUAUAAAUACCAGUAAUAAUAAUAAUAGUGUGUACCCAUUUAGGUUAACUGCCCAGUCAUGUGUCUCAUCCCACCAUGUUUCAGUUAUGCCUAUUAUAUCAUAUUGUUUAGUGUAUGCUAUUGCCUCUAGUUCCCCCAGUUUAUUUAGGCUCCUUGCAUUAGUAAGCAUACAUUUAAUAUCAUGAGUCACUUGUACUCUUUGUAAAUUAUCAACAUUAUAUACAUUCUCUGUUCUAAGCUUGCCCAUCCCCCCCGUCUCCAUCCCCCUUAUACUGAGCUAAAGCCCAUGUCCUUCCUGUCCUAUCUCCAUUUUGUAGAUUGCUAUGACCCUCCCCCCCUCCCCACUACUAGUUUAAAAUCUCCUCCAACCUUCUAGCCAUCCUAUCCCCCGGCACUGCAGACACUCUCCCGUUUCGGUGCAACCCAUCACUGCUAUAAAGGUUGUACCCAAGCGCAAAGUCGGCCCAGUGUUCUAAAAACCUCAAACCCUCCUUCCUGCACAAAGACUUCAGGUUAGUUUCCUUUUCUCAAUCGUCGCCCUGAUUUCGGUGCUGCUUGGCCCCACCUCCAUGGCUCCAAGAUCAUCAGUCUUAAUAAUCUCAGUAAUCCGUUGCUUUCCCAUAGGAAAGCAUUUUGAGGCUAUUGUGCAUGUGUGGCAAAACGCUGUUCUACGCCACGCCAUAUGUCCUCAUAGAGAUGCAUUGAAUAAAUGCAUCUCUAUGGCUAGCGUUCAGCGUCUCCAUGCAGAAUACUCUGCAUGGAGAUGCUGAAUUUUCCUCAUAGAGAUGCAGUGCUGUGUUUGGCUCCUCCUUGGAGACAGAUUGGGUCAGGGAACGGCGUUGGCAGACCUGUGUGGCGCUGGAAUAAGAUUUUAUUUAUUUCCUUUUGGGGUGACAGAGGGACCAGUAACCUAAAUUGUGAUUUACUAACCGUAUAGGGUCAGGAAUACAUGUUUGUAUUCCUGACCCUAUAGUGUUCCCUUUAAGCAUUGUAUUUUUAUCACUGAAUAUAAAGAUUUGUUGGUUAAAGAAAAAACCUGGCUCCUAACUGUCUUUAGCUGGCUCAUAGAUUGAAAGAUUCCAAGCAAAUUUAUCAAGCACUGCAUUAGAUUUCACUUUACAGGAAGUGUUUAGAAAGGCUGUGCAAGUUGCACCUAGUGCUCGCUGAGGACUCCAAGCACUCCAACCGACACCAUCAGCACUGCAGACCCCACUUCCAGCGAUACAGCUGCGCCGGGGUCUCGCCGUCUCCACCCACCCUGGAUCCACGACCAGGAUCCAGCUCCCAGUGGGUGAACCUCUCCUAAAUCCAGAGAGCGUAGCAGGAACAAAUCAAUCUAUUGCAAGAGCUUACUCUGGGGAGUAAGCGAUUAUAGCAAUCCCCAGAGUGUAGGUAUCCCUUCCCCCAAACAUGAGCUAAGGCUUCAAGAAAGGUACAAGAUGAUCUGGUUUUAAUGACCUCAUACUGGCUUUUAUGCAAGUCCCCAUGCAAGGGGACAUCCCACAGGAUGGGACACAGUAUAACCAAUCACAGACAAUACAAAUAAAAAACACUCCCACAGUGACCUCACAAUCCCUCCUCUCUUUCCUGGAGAUAAUUGGGAAGUAAUCAAAUUAUCUCCCAGGACAGAGGCAAGACUCCAUUAACCACAUGGUUACAAAUGGACAUAAAACAUAUACAUGCAACAUAUCCCCAGAUAGCUUAGAUCUGAGUGCACAUUAUUAUUGAAUGGCGCUCAGGUCACAUACAUAAAAUUCAAUUGCCAUGGAGCCAAAGUCUUUUCAUAGUCUUUUGUUCCACGAAUUAGCUCCAUGGCAUAGCUAUCUGGGGUAGUGCACUACUCACAUACUGGAAGUCCCGAACAACCCGGCAGAAAUACCCAAAUAAACCUUAUUGCAGCGUAAAAUACAGCUAUCAGCACAGGGGCCAAAGUCGGAAGGCAGGAGGCUAGCCAGUAGUCCCCUAAAGGCACAAGUGGCGAAGGGCACUUCGUCACACAUUUAAUUAUGCAUUUUUAUUUUUUAUUUUUUUAUUUUUGGGGUUACAUCUGCAAAGGCAGCAGACAAAAUCUGCAGUUUUAAUCCCUCUCCUUCUAACACAGCCUCAAAUUUAUGUGACUGUUAAAUCAGACUUUCCAAUGCAGCUCAAUUAAGUCUUUGCAAGGCAGGUACUUUGGGCAAUUGCCUCUUCAGUUCAGUGCAACAAAGCUAACCAAACCAGGAAGUAACAGGACCUGUUGUCUGCUUGAAAAGCCACGGGUGUAACAAGUAUCCUCAAUAAACAUGCAACAUUUUGUUCCAAAAUGAGGGGGGAAAAGGACUCACUAUUCACACACAAAGCAUUUCAGGAAGCUAAAGUGAUUUUUGUGGUCUGGAGUGUCCCUUUAAAACAGUGGUUACCAACCGUUUUUUCCAGCCUAUUCCCAUAAAUUGUACCCCUCAUAUUAGCUAAAUGUUUAAUAUAGAUGCUGUUAUUUCAGAUUUGUGUGGUUUAUUUUUUUUAUUUUUUUCUGCCCCUGGCUCCACCCUGCUUGUGUCAGUGUGUAUCUGCACAAUGAAAAACACGGACACACGUACAGACACACAGAUCCAAACACACAUACAAACAAUGCCACACCUAGAGAUGCAAACAUUAAAGCGGCACUGUCAUGCCGAACUUACCUUUCCUCAAUCUCUUCCUCUUCUCCCCCUCUCUCGGGAUCUGUUAUUCUUUUCUUCCUAUCUUCUUUAGUUUUCUUUAAAAUCAUAAGACAAAGUAGGGACUCUUUGCCUUAUGGAGGAUUCCUCCGCUUGACCAGCUCUGACCAGCGGAGGAGCAAAGUGUGCUUCAUUUCCGCUGGUCAGAGCAAUUUUCCCAUGAUUCUCACCUUCCCUCUGUGUUCCCACGAUGCUUCCUGUCACUUUACACAAAACUGCCGAAUUGCGUUCUAACUGAAUGAGAACAGUAUGUUCGUUUCUUUUAGAACGCAAUUCGGCACUUUAUUCGGAUCGGAAUUUCAUUCUAAUGAAUGAAACUCCGAUCCUAUUCUUGCUGUGGCUGCAUCUUGCAGCCGCUUAGUAGAUAACUCCCUAAUUCCCACGGUAUCAGGGAGUUAUCUACUAAAAGGCUGAAAGACCUAAAUUGGUCUUUCAGCCAAUUUACUAAUACUAAGUAAAGAUUACUUAGUAUUAGUAAAUUAAAUGCCCCUACUCGCUAUACCGCGAGUAGGGGCAUGUGUAGUAAGCAGUGAGCAGCUUAUAGCUGCUCACUGUAAAAAACAAAACAAAAAAAACUAAUAACCCCCCCCCACCCGUGGGGGCCCUAAAUAAAGAUGGGGGGGACCUACCUGGCCCCUGGCCCCCACCCCUGAGCGGUGGGUGGGGGCCCUAAAUAAAGAUAUGGGGGGGAACUUCUGUCCCCCCCCGGCCCCCACCCCUGCGCGGUGGGUGGGGGCCCUAAUAAAACAAUAAGGGGGGGGACCUACUGUCCUCCCCCCCUGGCCCCCACCCCUGAGCGGUGGGUGGGGGCCCUAAAUGAAACACCCCCCCCCCAAUCAAGGUGACUAGGGGUCCCAAGCCCCUAGUCACCAACCCCCCACCCAAAAAAACCUAUCCCCUACCUACCCCCCUCACCCUACAAAUAGUGAGGGGGGAAUAAAAUAACUAACCUGUAAAAAAAAAUUAAACUUACCAUUUGACGUCUUCUUUUUUCUAAAAUCUUCUUUCUUCAGCCCCCAAAAAGGCCAAAUAAAAAUCCAUUAUACCCGUCGCACUUUUAAAAAAAAAGAACCGGUGGGUUUAAGCCAAUGACCCCCAUAAGGCUGCUCACUGUUUAGUAGACAUGCCCCUACUCGCGGUAUAGCGAGUAGGGGCAUUUGGGAGAUUUUAAUCUCCCUUGUGCUAUUAUGGGGGUCAUAUUGACCCCCAUAGAGUUAGAGGGGGACCUGGGGGGGGCUUAUGAAGUGGUGGGGAGCACUGCUCCCUGCCGCUUCUAUCUUUACAUAUUACAAGGAGGGAGCUGCGUGCCGGUAGCUCCCUCCUUGUAAUAAACUGAACGAACAAACUAACACUGAUACAUUGUGUUAGUUUGUUCGGCUGAUAUUUCUAUUCACUCAUUCGUCUGUCUGAUGAAUGAAUGAAUAGCUGAAAUUCUCGUUCGCAUGUCCAGGUGUUUCACUGGGCAUGUGCGGGAAUCUCACAGUCUGCCUAGUGUGGGCUGAUGACGUGUCCCACAGGGACUUCACCUACCCAUACAAAGAUGGCGGCGCCCUGAAUCAAGAUCGGGGCAGAAAAUAAGGAUUAAAAAAUAGGUAAUGUGGGGGGCUUAGGGGCAUUUGGGGAUGACUAGUGGGUCAAUUGGAUGUAGUGGAGGCGGGAGGGGGGUUUAAAAAAAAAAAAAAAACGGGAUUCGGCAUGACAGUGCCGCUUUAACACAUGCAGGUGCAUCAACUACCACGCAUACAGAUGUACAGAUAGAAACACUGCCACACAAAGAUACAAUGACACAUGCAGAUACACACUGAUACAGACCUGUACACAAAUACUGAAACACAGUUGCACAGACACUGAUACACACUGGCACAUAUACAGAUGUACAGGCACACAGAUCUAAACAGUGACACUCAUACAGAUACAGACACCGUAACACAGUGACACACAUUCAGAUACGCACUAUGACACACCGAUAUACAAACUUCCAUAAUAACACAUGUAGAUACAGAUACAAAUACUGACACACAUGCAGUUGCAUAGGCACACUAUAUCUGCAUGUGUCAGUAUGUGCAUCAAACACUGAUACACACAAUGACAUACAUGCAGAUAGAUAAAAAUACAGACACUGAUACAAAUACAGAUGUACAGAGACAUAGUUGCGCACACACACUGACACAAAUGUACAGAUACAAAUACUGAAACACACACUGCUACACAUGUAGAUAAACAGAUCUAAACCCUUACACCUACAGUUCCACAGACACACUGAUACACACACACUCAUCCAAAGAAUGAUACAGUCACGCAUACAGGUACACACACUGACACAUGUAAGUACAGAUGGAAACACGGACACACAUACAGUUGCCAAUACACACUGAUACACAUACUGACACAGAUACGCCGAUACAGUGACACAUAUACAGAUACUCAUACUGACACAUACAGAUGUACAGGCGUGUGCGCGCACACACUUCUAUACAUGCAGAUAUGCAAACACUGACACACACACACACAGAUAUACAGACACACAGAUCCAAACCAUGACCUACACGCACACUAACAGAAUGCCGAUACAUAGACACAGAUACAAAUCCUAAAACAUAAUAUACAGACUCACACACACAAUGACACAUGUAGAUUCACAGACCCGCAGGUGCUCAGACACACUAAUACACAUGCAGAUACAGACACAUAGAUACACAUACUGACACAGAUGUACAGAUACGCAUAUACAGAUGCAGACGCACACACAUAUUGGGAACUCCUGCUUUAAGACAAAGACCUUAAGGGGGACACUCCGCUGCUCAAAUACAAAAUAAAAAUACCUGCAAUACCUCCAAAUAAAAACUUGCUUGCAUAUUUUUUUUCCUUUGCAGUGGCAUGUUCUAUACACAAAAACAUUAAUUUAAAGGGACACUAUAGUUCCUAGAACAGCUUAAAGUAAUUGUUCUGCUGUCUGUAGACCUUCCCAGCAGGCUUUUUAAUGUAAACACUGCCAUUUCAGAGAAACUCAUGUGCACUAUGUUCCCCUGUCUGUUAAAGUCAGAGGAGGAGCCCAAUCCCGCGCUUAUAGGCUUUGGAGCUGGACUCAAGUAAGUGACGUAAAACAUUUUUCAUUCAACCCUAAUCACACCUCCCAUGCAUGUGACCUACACACUUCCUAUAAAGAAAAGUCCAAUGUAAAAACUUAUAUUAUUGCAUAGUCUUUAGUUUGGAAUGUCCUCUCCUACUUUGUAAAUAACCUGCUAGAUCCUGCAGGAGCCUUAACAGGGCAGGAAACUGCACUGAUUGAAAAUGUAUUUCAUCUUUUCAUGAAGGCUGUGUGAAUCAGUCAUAGGUGUAAUUAUGGUUGCAAUUAUGGAGACAUGAUCUAUACACCAAAACUGCUUCAUUAAGCUAAAGUUGAUUUGAUGCUUAAAGUAUCCCUUUAAGUAGUCCAUAAUGCUUUCUGUGUAUGUUGAUUUUUACUUUAGUGAUCCAAUCAGAACAAUGUAAUUGAUUCUGGAAGAGUUAUUAUUGUGGGGAAAUCUAGAGCAUUUAACCCCUUCAGGACGUAGUCAAUAGUACACGUUCUGAUCAAAACAAAAUGUAAACAAAAACUGGAAUUUGCGCUAUGUCUGUUCAACCGUAAUUCACCUCUUUCAUAUUAUAUGCACCCAUACUACUUAUAUUUUGUUCAGGAGAAACAUGGCUUUCAUUUUAUAUCAAAUAUUUAUAUAUGAAACAAAACUUAUUAUGAAUAAAAAAAAAAAAAAGGAGACCUUUUUAAUUGUUUUUUUUUUUUUAUUGUAGUUCCACCUGUACAGCGCUGCGGAAUAUGUUGGCCUUAUUUAAUUAUAAUUCACAGUUUAGUGACUAACGGUGUGAUUUUAAUCUCUCUGCUAAAUUUAAUUCCUCUAAUAUAUUUUUUCUGCUUCUUCAAAAGAAGAUCAACAGGGAAAAAUCUAUUUUCUGCUGUUGUGGGGCCCCAUUAAACCAUUCUUCUCGUUUAACCAUUAACACAUCCACAUGGCAUGGUGAAAAAAAAAAUUCCUGGCACUUUGUGGGGGCAACAUUAUUUAUCAAUGUAUUACUUCAGAAGUUAUUUAAGUCAAAUUCGGAUAUCAUUUUUUCACAUUAUCUAAAAUUUUAAAUUUAUUAGAUGUCAGUAUAUGUGAGGAAAAUGAAUAUAUCUGAGACUCUUUUUAUCUAUAUUUGCUGCUGCAAAUGCAGCUUUUUUUGUAAAUACAGUAAACACACAAGUGCAAAACAAUUUGCUGCACUUUGACCAACAAUAUGGUCAAUAUUAUUACUAUAAGGCAGUAUCAUUUACUCCUACACACAUAUUCUGAGAAUUAAAAGAAUUAAAAUGGUGAGUUUUAAAUGUCAAAAGUUGGUUAUCAGUGCAAUGGCGCUACUUUAAAAACAGCAUUGAGUGAUAUUUCUAAAAUAAUAUUUCUAGGCAUUUAGAAGACGAUACAGUCUAUUUAGAUAGAAGGGAUUCAGGAAUAUGGGGUGUUGGGUAAGCGGUAUGAAACAUGGCUGAGAGUCCUACGGGUUAGGACAGUCUUAAAUUAGAGGGACAAAGGUUUAAAAAUAAUAUCAGGAAGUAUUACUUUACUGAGAGGGUAGUGGAUGCAUGGAAUAGCCUUCCAGCUGAAGUGGUAGAGGUUAACACAGUAAAGGAGUUUAAGCAUGCGUGGGAUAGGCAUAAGGCUAUCCUAACUAUAAGAUAAGGCUAGGGACUAAUGAAAGUAUUUAGAAAAUUGGGCAGACUAGAUGGGCCGAAUGGUUCUUAACUGCCGUCACAUUCUAUGUUUCUAUAAUUUAUUAUGAAUAAAAUAAGGAGAAAUUUGUAAAAAAAAAAAAUUUUUUUUUUUUUAAAUUGUAGUUCCACCUCACAUUUUAGCUGUAAAUGUCAUAAUACUGUUAGCUUUUACUCCAAAAAAAGCACAUAUUUGGACUCAGCAAAGUUUCACAAGUACAACAGUACCACCCACUAAGUUUUUACGGUGUUUUGGAAAGUUAAAGGAUCAAAUAUAGCACAUUCCAUUUUUCAGUUUUUUCACAUUGAAAUUUGCCAGAUUAGUAAUGUUACCUUUGAGACCGUGUGGUAGCCCAGGAAUGAGAUUUACCCCCCUGAUGGCAUACCAUUUGCAAAAGUAACCAACAGAUGUAUCACCAAAAGGUGAAAAACACAAAUAGUCAAAUAUUUUACAAUGAGUGGUACUUAACUUUAGAUCACGAAUAACAGCCUCCCUAGGUCAUUACCCAGAAGCGACCUAUAUCAUAUAUAGAGAACCACAACAAACAAUUCGGGAUAUGGCUGUGUAAAUCUACAGAAAAGACAUAAAAUAAAACAGUGUGGUAUUGUAACAACACAAUUUCGUUAUGCGCAGCAAUAUUUGCACUCACUAGAUGUAGAUAAGUGUAAGCGUUCUCAAGGUGCCUUCCCCGAUGUAAUGGGGGGCCAACAGAUCUCUCUGAUCACCUCCAGAUAAUUUUUCCACCACAGGACUUCCACAGGUCAGCAUAAAAAAAUUUAGAGACUUAUUCAAUAAAAAAGUAAGCAAUCAGCAUAGGAUAUGAAGAGCAGGAAAGAAAAAGUCCUACGCGUUUCGUUCUAAAUGGACUUCCUCAGGGACCGCAAUAAAAACAAUUGAAAUGUAUCAAUACAUGUUACAAACAAACAUAUGGUAAAAACCCUUCCCUGUGUCCUUAAAUAGGGCUAAUCUCUAAGUCCAUUGGUGGAUUCAGUGGGUGUGUAGAUCCUCUUCUAUUUGGAUUGGAGAAGAAAUCUUCCUUCAUCAGCUGUUUCUAGCUUCUCCAUAAAAUUGGAGCCCUUUUUCUGCAGUUGUUCUGGUGGUGAUGUGCCUUGUUUGCGGUGGUGGUCAGUGUAAGGUGUAGGCUAGCCUCUAGUGGGCGUGUUAACCUUCGGUGUAUAGCACCCUGGGGGGGGGGGGGAACGUUGUGAAACUGGGAGAUGUAGCAUAAACCUGAGUCAUUCAAAAACUCCAACGUAUUAACUAAACAGGUAUGUAAAUAUUGUGCCUGUGCGCUGUUUGUCAUGUGGCAUCUAUCGGGGUGCCUAUCCCUCGGGGUCCGAAGGGGACAGUCCUUGUCGGGUCCCAGGUAAGAGCGGUGGUGGGUGCGUCACGUGUGCCAGGUACCGGUGGGAGCCCCAAUGAUUGAAGGAAUGGGUCCGCCUCCUGUAUAAGGGUGAGUUUAAGAGUGGUACCAUUGCGGUCCACCGACAGGGUUUUAGGUAAUGUCCAGCGGUAGAUCACGUUGGCGUCAUGUAGGCGGUGGGACCUCCUCCACUGAAGGGUGGAUCUGGUCAGGUCCUGGUAGAAGGUGAGACUGGCAUUUUCAAAGUCCAGUGGUGUUUUGCCUCUUGUAGCGGCAAAAAUGUUGUUUCUAUCCGCUAAGGUUUGGCACCUCAGGAUCACAUCGCUGUUUGUUAGGGGAGUUACCUGUCUCGGUUUGCUGGUGCGAAAGGUACCUUUGUUUUAUGCAAAGGUCAGCUUCUUUGCCUGCGAGUGUGGUAAUAAGGUUGCAAAGAGGUGUCUGAGGUAGUGUGGUAGUUCAGAGUGACUUACAUCGUCAGGUAGGCCCCUUAUUUUUACGUUGUUUCUGCAGCAUCCAGUUUGUUGAGCAGGGCAGAGUGGGAGGUUUGAAGUUGCAUUACUGUUUCUUUAAGGCCUCUCACCUCGUGCUACACGUCCAAAAUGUCCUCCUCCUUGGUUUGCAUGCGGUCUGUCACCGCCUGGACCUCAGUGCGCAUUAAGGUCACGUCAGCCGCAGACAUCUGUUUCAGCUCUGCCAGGAGGUUUCUAAUGUCCAGUUUGGUGGCUGGGGUAAGUGCAUCGGGAUACGGAUGCACGUCUAUGUGUGACUGUGGGUCUGUCAUUACCCCCGAUGGUUGCUCCAAUCCUGCAGAGCUGAUGUCCUGUUCAGGCAUGGCGGCUAUCUUUGGUGCCGCGGGGCGCUGCAGCAUUGUGCUGAUGUCCUGGGUGUUUGUACCUCCGCCUGUGGCUGCUCGUUGGGAUCUCCGUCCCAACGGUUGUCCUGCUCUCCGUAGGUGGUGUGAGGACCGGGAUCACCGCGUUGCGUAGCGCAGCUUUGAGGGCCUCGUAUGCGGGGUAGGCCCUGACCUUGCAGUGUAUUUUCUUACCGGUCUGUGGGAAUCGGAAGGGCAUCGGUCGGUCAGUACUGUUUCCCCCUUGCUCUGCUGUAUGAUUUUUCUGGCUGGAUCGGCUUGUUCGGCUCGGUUAGCCGUUGAUUUUUCUCCGGUUGGGCCCCCCAUUCUAAGUGUAUUUUAAUACUAAUAUAUGUACUUAUAUUAAUAUUAAAAUAAAUUACGUAUGACGUUACAUUAUAUAUAUAUAUAUAUAUAUAUAUAUAUAUAUAUAUAUAUAUAUAUAUAUAUAUAUAUAUAUAUAUAUAUAUAUAUAAAAAUAAUGUGUGUGUAUGUAUAUAUGUGUAUGUAUGUAACGUCAUACGUAAUGUAUUUUAAUAUUAAUAUAAGUACAUAUAUAAAAAUAUUAAUAUAAGUACAUAUAUUAGUACACUUAGAUAUUGUGUGACAGAAUACUGUAAUAUAUCACAUUAUAGUAGGAACCAGGAUAAACUCCAGGGAGCCUGAAUGUUGGCCACUAGCACUUUCAGCUUGACAAUAUGGGGUUAAGCUAGUAUUAAGAUAUAGAUUGUGUUAUAUGAUGCACUUUAGGGUCCUGAUUGGACCUGUGACAAUUAUUAUUUUUAGUAUUAUGUCUUAUUUUAUGAUUAAUUUAAGUGUUAAUUAUGGACAUGUACGUUGUAGAAGGGAGGAGAGUAUGAUGACAUUCCCCAGAAAAUGUUUUCUGAUAAAUAUGUAUACUUGUGAGGAAUGCUGGUAAUCCUGCUUCCCAAUCGCAGGUCAGACACUCAGACUGGGGGAACAAGCUCUCUGCGCAUGCGCCAGCAUCUCAUUGACUACCGAGAAUGCUGGCGUCCAGGAAGUACACUGAAAGAUGAGUGAUAGACGCUAUCAGCGUCACGAUCUCCAUGGCAACGACGUCACGUGUUGAUGACGUCAGCGCAAUCAAUGAGACGCUGAAUCCCGGUGGUGCCUGUCCUGACACCCGAGAGGAGAGGAGGCCAGCCUCUUACACACCUGAAUUGUAAGUUCUUUUUUUGAUGUUCUUAUUUAAACUAAGUUUGUUUCGUUUGUUUUAUGUUUGCUGUCCUGAUGAAAGCUCCCAAGUGGAGCUGAAACGUCGACCUGUAAAGUGAAGAAUGAUCUCUUUUUUACAAAACCUGGGAGUGCUGAUUAUUUCAGAGAUAUAUAUAUAUAUAUAUAUAUAUAUAUAUAUAUGUGUAUUUACAUUUUUUUUUUUUUACUACUUCCCACCAGCAGGGGAGCAGGGGGACUGUCUGACAUUUCAGACAGUCCCCCUGCUGGCAGAUCCACAUCCAGCUAUAGGGGGCCAUGUGAUCGCUCUUUGAGAGCGAUCACAUGGCCCCCGGGGGCCUUAUUUGCCGUGGGAGGGCCGCCUGCCUGUCAGGCAGUCCUCCAGAAGAGGAUCGCGGCGGAGGUAUGUAAAUUGGAGCUGCUGGGGCUGCAAGCCGUUUCGGCUUUCAGUGCUGCUGCAACGGCUUUAAAGCCGUAACAGCGUUAAGGGGUUAACAUAUUUGCCAGGCCCUGGACAAAUGGAAUCUUUGUUCUGUAGACCUAGUAAUAUAAUCCAUUUAAAGAAAAACAUCCAGCCAUAACAUCAUAAGGAUAUUAUGCAAUUCAACUCUUUACUAGGGGAAGUCACACUUUGUUUAUAAUUGUAAAGAAAUAAAAUAUACAUUUUUCUUCGUUCUGGACUUACUUAUGAUUUUGCCUGAGUUGAAUUUACAAAUUCAGCAGCUAUGGGGACAAUCUCUAUAUGUAUGCCCCACCACUUAAAAUCAAUGCAGUGGACUUUUUGUUAAUGCUUUGAAAGAAAUUAAAUUUUAAAAUUUGUAUUUUGUUUUUGCAAAACAAGAAGUUUCAAAUGUAGAAAAACACAGCAUUGAAUAUGUGCACUCAAGAUGACUUGGAAUGUGGAGUAUUUUUUUAAAUUAUGUUUGUGUAGUCUGAAAAAUAAAAUUAAUAGGGUUAUUCACUAAAGUGACAAUUCAAAGUGAAUUUCAAAUUUUAUAACAUGACAGGAGGCUUCAUAUUUGCUUCAGUCUCUCUUUACUAGAACGCCACAGCAGCACAUUAACACAGAGAAAAGCAACCAAUCAGAAAAAAAGUAAGGAAACCAUAAAAGGCCUCUCCCAACCAACUACUUCCUCUUUCUUUGCUGCUCCACAUCAAGCACAGGUCAGAGUACCACUGCCUCCUGUUUCAUAUGGGUGACUGUGGAUCUUUUUAUUAUUUAUUCUGUCUUGCUUUAUUGACCAUAUCUGUAUUUGUAUGUUUUUGUUUUUGUGGGGUUUUGCAUUGUUUCCCUGCUUUGGAGUGUACUGCUGUGGGUUUUUCUGACCGUUGGGGACUGGAGUAGCUCUAUCCUGCCUACCCUCUCUCUCUAUUCCUCUUCCUUUACUCUCCCCCUCCCCCCCCCCCGUCCCGCUUGUUUGCCUUUCCCGGUUGCCGGGGAGCGGUUCUCUCCUGUUGCCGACCGCCAGGACUGCGGAGCAUGACUACAGUGGUCCCAUGUGUUGGCCCCUGUCCGCCGAGCGGGGGCUGUCUCCAUCCCUCUCAUAGCCCGCGCUUCCGUCCGCGGUGUCAACUUAACCGUGGCUUGGGGGUGGCUGGCCAUGUAGGAGCAGUAUCUCCCGGCCUCCUGUCACUCACCCUCCCGCGGCCUCGUGGGGCGAGCUGGGAGGGUUUCUACUCAUGUCGAUAUAAUUUGGGAUUAUGUGUUUCUAAGAAUUUAAAGCUGUAUACACUUUUUUUUUUUUUCUUGCUUGUUUAAUGGAGUUAGUGCCUCCUUAUUUGUGGGGUUAUUACUGACUGGUGGGGUUAGGUCCUGUGACGGACCCGCUGGCACUCUGACAGAGUACGUCCGACAAUCGAUGCUCCUAAUGCUUGCCGAGGACUCCAAGCACUCCAACAGACACCAUCAGCACUGCAGACUUAUCCCUUCACCAAGCAUGAGCCAAGGCUUCAAGAAAGGGUCAAUCAGGUCUGUUUUAAUGAGCACACAAAAGCAACAGCACUCAUGCAGCAAAACUCCUCCUCCUCAGAAGAAAACAAACUGACAGUUAAGUUCAGUCAGUGUUUGAAUAUAUGACAGUUAUUGGAAGUUGCUGAACUGUGCCAGUACCAUUUAAAGGGCCAGAACAGUCUUUUAAAACACCAAUAAGUCCAAAUGGUGUUUCUAAUUGGCAAAAUCUCCCAAAGACCAUAGUCAUACGGCAAGAGGCUGGUAAUAAGUCCUCUCCAGGCACAAGUGGCGAAGGGCACUUCGUCACUUCCCUCUGGGGGGGAGACUAACCAGUUACCUGACCUUCUGUCGGUCAGUACCUGAGUUAGUCGAGUAGCCCACCCACAAUACACCAUUACCGCUCCUGUCCUGGUGUCCGACUCUGGCCUGUAUGUCCCAGGUUACUGAGGGGAGCUAGUGGGCAGAGGCCAGCGGCGCUCUGCCCUGAUGCCAGCGCUUCUGCUGGAAGGGGGUCAGUGGAGGCCAACAUCUCCACUAAACCCAGUACCGGGUUAGGGGCUGGCUGUGGAGGGGAGGGGUCGAGUACCUCCCCCUCCUGGUACUCCUGCUACUGCUGGGGAGCGAGACUGGUUGUCUCCUCUCCCUGGGGCUCCAACUGCAGUUGGGGAUCUGGGCCAGCUGCCCAGCAUCCCUGUAGGCCUGGUGGAGAGACCUCGAUCCCAUCUCCACCUGCCGUUUGGGGGUCCUCCAAGGACCAAUCCAUGAGGUCCCCUACCUCGGCUACCUCUGGUUGCUGUUGGGGAGGGAGACCGGUUGUCUCUUCUCCCACUCGCACAUUCAGCUGCUAGGGAAGGGAGGCCAACUGUCUCCUCUCCCGAUAAGACAUACUGCUGCUGGGGAGGAAGGACGACACCUUCUGCUCCCUGGGAGGCACACUGCUGCUGGGGAAGGAGACCAAUUGUCUCCACUCCCUGUAGGAUACACUGCCGCCGGGGGACCAGUUGUCUCCUCUCCCUGUGAGAUAUACUGCCGCUGGGGUGUAGGACCGCCUGUCCUUACUCCCGGUACUUCCAGCUGCAGCUGGGGAUCUGGGCCGACUGCCCAACAUCCCUGAAGGGCCGGUGGAGAGACCUCGGUCCCAUCUCCACCUGCCAGUUGGGGUUCCUCCCAGGACCAGUCUAUGAGAUUCCCAAAGGACCACCUGCCUCCUCUAUCUGUAGCUCAGGUUGCAACUGGGGAUCUGGGCCGGCUGCCCAGCAUCCCUGUAGGGCCGGUAGAGAGACCUCGGUCCAAUCUCCACCUGCCUGUUGGGGGUCCACCCAGGACUGGUACCUCUGGUUGUUGCUGGGGAAGGAGACCGUUGUCUCUUGUCUCUGCACGGUGCACUGCCGCUGGGAAGGGAGACCGGUUGUCCCCAGCCCCAGUCUCCACAAUCUGAACUCACAUUCCCGUGCUGCUUGGUUCUCCUCAUCCAGCUCUUGCAUAAUAUGGACGAUCACCUCUUCUGAAGGGUCUGGGCCAUACUCGACUAGCCGCCUCUUUACCUCCGAGAUGUAAGCGUCGCCCUCAUAGCAAUAGGUCAUGUUUGCUUGGCCCCACUGUGGGCCACUAGCGCUCCGAUCCGUGCCUUGGUUUCCGCUGUAGACAGGGGUGCUGCACGAGUGCUAGUGUCGCCCUCACUUGUAGCUCCGUAACGUUACCAGUGUCUCCGAGUUGCUUCUCCUCACGCUAGGACGCCAUCCCACCGCUUGUAACCAAAUGUGACUGACCCGCUGGCACUCCGACCGAGUACCUCCGCCAAUUGAUGCUCCUAGUGCUUGCUGAGGACUCCAAGCACUCCAACCGACACCAUCAGCAGUGCAGACUUAUCCCUUCCCCAAGCAUGAGACAAGGCUUCAAGAAAGGGUGAAACAGGUCUGUUUAAUGAGCACACAAAAGCAACAGCACUCAUGCAGCAAAACAACUCCUCCUCAGAGGAAAACAAACUGACAGUUAAGUUCAGUCAGUGUUUGAAUAUAUGACAGUUAUUGGAAGUUGCAGAACUGUGGCAGUACAAUUUAAAGGGUCAGAACAGUCUUUUAAAACACCAAUAAGUCCAAAUGGUGUUUCUAACUUGCAAAAUCUCCCAGGGACCAUAGUCAUACGGCAAGAGGCUGGUAAUUAGUCCUCUCCAGGCACAAGUGGCGAAGGGCACUUUGUCACAGGUCCUCAUACCCAUUGGUUUCUGCUCAAUACUGUAUCAUUUGGGAUUAUGUGUGUUUCCAAGAAUUUUAAAGCUGUAUACACGUUUUGUAUUUUUCUUGCUAGUUUAAUGGAGUGAGUGCCUUUAUUGCACACUCCUUAUUCUGGGGUUAUUACUACCUGGUGGGGUUAGGUCCUCAUACCCCAUAUUCUUGGGAUAGUAAGAAGACUUAUAAUGGUGGGGGACACAUUUAGAGGCCGCACAUCCCUCUACAAUUUAGGCCUUCCCUGGUCUGCCAGAGUUUUCUACCACUAUUUUCUGCAAUGUCUGUGGAUUCUAGGUCCCUUCAAUUUCUGCAUGCCUACAGGUCUUCUGCACACUCUGAUUGGCCUCCUUUUACUGCGCCACAAGGAUUGGCCUGCUUUGUAUGUUCCAUUAUCACUGUACGCCUGGCCUGUCGGCUCAGCGUUCACACUUGGGCCCUGCAGGUGCUACCAUACUUGCCUCUGACACUAAAUGGGUUGCUACGGCAAUGCGUCAAGGCCCGACAUUAUCGGCCUCACAUUCCAGGCGCUGCUGCUUGUCAGGUGCAGGGGAGGAGACCUCAAUACCCCCCUCCCCACCCAUGGCCGUCCUGGAUGAAUGGCGGGCGGACCAGUCCCCCUCGGAGGAGGAAAUUGAGUGGGAUGAGGACUAUGGGGAUGACCCUAAGUGGCACCGUGAGGCUGAGGACGCCUCCAUGCCAGGGACGAUGGGUACGGCCGUGGACGAAAACACUUUCCUGGACGCCAUCGGCAAACUCCUGUUCGACCCUCGGUCCAUUCAACACCCCAGGUCCUCCAACUAGUCCUUUCCAGACCAUUUGGCACACUUCGUGCAUUACUGGGUCUCCCAGCCUCUGGAUUGGGAAGUUUGCAGAAAACUUCGGGCGGAAUGCCCCAGGCCUGUACUGCCAGAUGAGGUCGACACAACCCAGGAUUCAAUGCCUUGAUUUCCACGUGCAUGGACCGUACUGGACGUGAUCCCAAGAAAGGGGUCUGGCGCAGAACAAACUGCUAGACAUGCUUGGUCCCCUAUGCAGGAUGCUAAGGCUGGCAGACGAAUCCUAUUCGGAAGGGGCUACCUUGGACUCGACCACCAUGCGGGUGGCUUUGUGCUCUGUUUACCUGCUGGGCAAUACGUAUGUGGCACUUUCCACGGACUGCAGGAAGGCGGUCCUUUUCCAUAUGGACAACAAAUUGUCGGAUUUGGGGUCAAAGGAAUUGGGCUCCCUGGCUAAAGGUCUUCUGCUCAGGGAACCUUUCAUAAAGGAGCUGCAUGAACAAGGCUCAGACCUCCAUGAAGAGGGUUUUUCGCUCACAGACUUCACGGGUUUUUGGCAGGGCUGGACAACAACGGGUCAUGUCUCCAGGCGCUUUUGACCUUCUGGUUGCCGAGGAUCCCGUGGACCAUUGUUCUUCCCCUCCUACUCCAAGAGGUCGGACAGAGGUAGAGGAAAUCGAGCCAGAGGACGUGCAAGAUCAUCUUCAGGUGAGAGCAACGCCUUCCGUUUCUCCCUUUCCCCUGUUGCAGGCGGGCAGACUGUUUCACUGCAGGGUCAGGUGGCGGGAGGUGUCCAUGGGUUCUACGGACGGUUCGGGUAUAGGUCAUAGACUUUCCCCCUCCGAAUCAGGUUCGGCCUCCAAGUUCCCGUUUCCUCACGGGUGCAACUAUUACAGGGAGGCGGGCCCUGUUCGACAAGGGCCCAGUCCAUUGGUCUCCGGACACGCAGGGUUUUUUCAGCUUUUUCUGAAAAAGUCCAGAGAGUUCCGCCCGGUGUUUAAAUCUGCGGAACCUGAACGAGAUUGGAUCGGAAGGGCGCUUACCUCUCAGUCCUGGUGGCACAGAGUGCCUAAGAUUCCUCCAUUUCCUCUGGAAGGGCAGACCUUGCUAGUUCACCUCUUACGUUCGGCCUCAGCUUGACUGUGUGGUGCGUCACCAAGCUAUUGAAACCAGUGCUUGCACGACUCCGGUCAGAGGGUGUCGGUUGUAUCAUCUACCUGGACGAUCUGCGGAUCUUCUGCGAGGAGCCCUCCAGGCUAAAGUGUCAAACGCGCUCUGUGGUCUCCUUGUUUGAGUCCCUGGGUUUCGUGGUCAACCAGGUGAGGUCGGCUCUCUCUCACUCCCAGGUGGUCGAGUUCUUGGCUUUCGAAAUAGACGCAAGGGACUCCAUCCAAGAUAGUGACCAUUUGAAAGGAAAUGAGGUGGGUUCUACAUCAAGACCGGAUCACACUACGGAUGUUGGCACGCGUGGUGGGUCUCCUCUCUUCUUCAAUCCAGACUAUCUGCCCGGGUUUCCUCCUUUACAGGGCCAUGCAGCGUAUGAAAGCCCAUUUUCAAUGCAGGAGACCUUCCUACGACUAAGGGAUUCCCCUCUUUCUGGACGUGAAGACCGUGUUACAGUGGUGGCUCCUUCACAUGUCUGCCUGGAACGGCAAAGCAAUUUUGGUCCAAUUCCGGAUUUCGUGCUAGAGUCAGAUGCAAGUCUUUGGGGUUUGGGAGCCACCUGCGAGACUAGCCCCACAGGGGGGUCCAUGGUCAGAGAUGGAAACGGUGUUCCACAUCAACUGCCUGGAACUGAUUGCGUGUUCGUUCGCGUUUCAGAGACUGGCGAGCCACCUUUCAGAUUGCUAUAUCCUCAUACGGUUGGCCGAUGUCUCGGGGGUACUAUAAGUCAGCCGCCUGGGAGGAACCCGCUCUCGGAUCCUCUCUGAGGUGACAGAGAUUUACAGCUUCUGUUUCCAACGCAACAUCACCGUUCAGGUGGAGUAUCCACCACAGGAGCCGAACAUGACGGCGGAUUGGUUCUCCAGACAUUGGAGGGACGCCAGCGAUUGGAGGUUCUUUCUUCCCAUCGUUCUUCAAGAUCAAAGACCAGAGGGGUCCGUUCACCUCCCGGACGAUCUUUUAGGUCCCGGCCUACUUCAGCUGGCUCCCGGAGCCGGUUUGCUCAGCGGUGGACGUUUUUCCUUCAAGUGUGGCCGUCACGGGAGCCUAUGCGUUUUCUCCAGUUGCUAUGAUACCCAGGGUCUUGCUGCAAGUUCAACGUCUUCAUGUGUCUUUGGUGUUGCUGACUCCACUAUGGCAGAGUCAAGUCUGGUUCCCGGAGCUCCUCUAUCUGUCUCAUCUGGACCCACAUCUGGACCCCCUUCUGAGGAUUUUUUCGGACUCCCGGGGCAAUCCUCAUGCUCCCGUGAUGGACGGUCUCCUUCGCCUGAUGGCCUGGUGUCUUUGGUGCCUGGUAAGGGAUACAGAUUCCUUUACGGAUCCUGGGUCCAGCGUGCUGAUUUUUGUCAGGUCUGUUUGACCUGGGACGCUGGUAUCGUUCGGUUUAUAUAGCUAGAUUGGCAAUUUUGACGGCUCAAUUACCGCUUAGAGGGCUUCCCAUCGGUCGGGACCCGCUGGUUUGCAGGCUUCUCCGAGGAAUGAGAUGGUCGCGAUCUGCGAUACCGAAGUAUUACUCUCUCUGGGACGCACCGUUGUUGUCGUUCCUCCAGGAUUGGCCGGAUUGUCAAGCCCUUUCCCUUUGUCAACUUUUGGCUUGAUUUGCCCUCUGGCUAUGCCUUUUUUUUUUUUUUUAGACGUGUUUUAGACAUAUGGCCUUCAAUGUUGACAAACCAGUCUUGUCUCCUACUUGGGCGCGCUGGAUUCAAUGGUUGUUGGCUUUAGUGGGGGGUGAAUUCGAUCUUUGGAGCGCAUUCGGUUAGAGGCGCCUUUAUCGCGGGCGCAUCUUUCCAGGACAUCAUGCGUUCAAGCCUACUGGUUCUGAGAAGAUAAAUUUUGCAAAUUUUAUUUUAGACAGGCGCAUCAUGCUGCUUUUGUUUUGCUGUCUGAGCGUUAAAACAGCAAAUAUGAAGCCUCCUGUCAUGUUAUAAAAUUGUAGAUUAUACUAGCUUUAGUGUAACUAUAAUAAAAUUUAAGAUUAAUGACAGGAGGUGAAUAUUUCCCUCGCAGUUUUCACCCUUCCCUGGUACCUUGUUUGUUUUAUUUGACUACCUCUAGUCGAUAGUCUGUUCUCCAGAACUGUGUUUAGGUAGGUCAAUUAUUUGCCUUCCUGAGGGAAGUCGGCGUGUGAUAUUAAGGAUGUUGUACUGUCUGUAAUUGAUUAUGGGUCUUCAUGAUUUCACAGUACAUUUUAUUAACUAAUCAAUGUUUUCGACUCUGCUUUUCUCGUUCCAGUAUAAUGGUUCGUCUACAGAUCCAAGUUCAAGGCUUUCUUCAGGAUAGAGUUCAAGGAUUUAUCUACUGUUCCACGUUCAUUUCGAGUUUGGAUGAAGUCAUUAGCUGACUUUGUUUGAGUCCUUAUGAUUCUGCUAUUGAGUUAUUCAUGUACUUUGUUUUGUCACAGCUUGAAAGAGGAAGUAGUUGAUUGGGAGGGGCCUUUUUAUGGUUUCCUUAAUUUUUUCUGAUUGGUUGUUUUUCUCUGUGUUAAUGUGCUGCUUCUAGUAAAGAGACUUAAGCAAAUAUUCGCCUCCUGUCAUUAAUACAUUUAGGAUUAUAGUUACACUAAAGCUAGUAUAAUCUACAAUUCAAGGCCAAAGUAGCUGAACUGAAAGCAUUGCACAGAGACAAGAGGGAAAACAUGCACACCGCACCUCCAUGUCACAUUUUCAAGAGAAGGCAAUCCUUUGUAUUGCAAAUGGAUUAUUUUGAGUUUUGUGGUGUAGCCUGUUUAUCACAAGUACUGGCCACAUUUAGUGUUAGUAUUGCACAUUUAUUGCAAUGCAGCCUCAAUAUUAUUUAAAGUAUCACUAUAGGGUCAGGAACAAAAACAUGUAUUCCUGACUAGGGAUUCACCGAAAUGAAAAUUCUGGGCCGAAAACUGAAGCCGAAAAUGACCUUUUUUUUUUUUCCCAAAUGAUUUUAAAUUUAUUUUUUAUUUUUUCUAGAAUUUUAUUAGUCUUUUUAAUGAAUUUAAUCUAAUAUGAAAAACUUGCCUUCUCUCCCGCUUAAUGUUCGUCUAGUGUUUCUUCCCCCCCUCUUUUUUUAGUGUUCUUUCCUCCUUCCUCCCCAGUCACAUAGUGUUCUCUCUCUCCCCCCCGUCUCAUAGUGUUCUUUCCCAUAGUGUUCUUUCAUUGUGAUCUGUAAUCAUCUAAAUUCUUAAUGCAAGCAUGUUUGUUAAAGUAUGCACUACAAAAAUAUCAUAUAUAUAUAAUUUUUUUUUUUUUUUUUGGCAAAUUUGACCCAUUUUCGGCUGAAAUUUUAGCAGCCGAAUUUUGGGCCAUCCCUAUUCCUGUUACUGUAGUGCUAAACCCACCAUUUAGGUGGCUUGCCCCCCUAUAAAAGUUUAAAACUCACCUUAUUUUUUCAGCGGCGCUGGCUCUGCCCCAUUUGUGACAUCAUCGAAAUAGCACGGGGCGGGCCAAAUGCCAUUUUGCCCAUUCAGGAAUUGAAUCAAUG